AUGCCGCCAGUAGGAGGAGUAGAUGAUUACACGGAGCAGGAUUCCCCGCAGGCGACCGGCCACCAUGGCUGCCCCGAGGACGUUUCGUCUUCUUCGCCGACGCUCCCCGUCAUUGCUUCAAUAGCUUCCGAGAAGAAGAAGCAGAGGCGCGAUCGCGAGCAGCAGCCCGCGGCAAGCCUCCCCGACGACAUCAUCAUCGAAAUCCUGUCGCGGGUGCACUACAAGUCGCUCUGCCGUUUUAAGUGCGUGUCCAAGCAGUGGCUUGACCUUUGCUCCGGCCUCGACACCCACAAGAGGUCGCCGCAGGCCCUAUCCGGCCUCUACUUCUUGGACGAGGAACACCAAGGCCUCAGUUUCCAUGGUCUGACCGGGGGUGGCCCCCGUCUGGUCGAUCCCGAUCUCUCUUUCUUGCGCAAGAGCUACGAAAGCUUAGAGGUCACACAAUGCUCCAGCAGCCUUCUCCUUUGCAUGUGUUGGAAGAACUCGUACUCACCGCGGGGUGAAUGUGAUUAUGUCGUGUGCAAUCCGGCAACCGAGAAGUGGACUCUGUUGCCUCUGAUAGAAUGCAUGGACCAAGCGGACGUCGAACGCUAUUUGGGUUUCGACGCAGUCAAGCCCUCUAGCUUCGUUGUGGUUGCGCCCUUGACAGAUAUUUAUCAACUAAUCAGAAAAGUAGCGAUCUACUCAUCGGGAACUGAACGAUGGACUUACGUGGAAAGUGGGUGGGCUUCUGAUACUAUGGUGGGUGAUCAAGAUGCCAUAUUCUUGAAUGGCAUUGUGCAUUUGACUACCUGUGGUUCUUCAAUAGUAACAGUGGACAUAGAAGGAAAGAUUUGGAGAGAAAUUAGAGUGCCACACUUCGACGCCAUUGGGCUAUCUCAGGGAUGCUUGCAUGCUUGGCGUGUAGAUGUUCUUAAUGGUUGCCAACUCUCUCUUUGGGUUCUUCAGGAUUAUGACAGCGAGAACUGGACUCUAAAGCACACUGUCAAUGUUUUGGAAUUAUUUGGAAGUCAUUGUCGCAAAGAUCAUGAGUCCUACAUGGUGUUGGCCAUUCAUCCAAAUUGUAAUCUGAUUUUCCUUACCGAUGGGGAGAUGACAGUCUUGUAUGAUACGGAUAAUCGGAAAGUGAAUGUUAUCAGCUCUUCUGUAGAUUUCGUGGGUUGUGCACCUUAUAUUCCCUGUUUCACAAAAUGGCUGUCCGAUGGACGCUGA
Molecule: ribosomal RNA, 1212 nt
Filed under: Triticum aestivum (bread wheat)
Lineage: Eukaryota; Viridiplantae; Streptophyta; Magnoliopsida; Poales; Poaceae
Description: partial small subunit ribosomal RNA
Source: RNAcentral